GAUGAACGCUGGCGGCGUGCUUAACACAUGCAAGUCGAACGAUGAUGCCCAGCUUGCUGGGUGGUUUAGUGGCGAACGGGUGAGUAACACGUGAGUAACCUGCCCUUGACUCUGGGAUAAGCCUGGGAAACUGGGUCUAAUACCGGAUACGACCAUCUGGCGCAUGUCAUGGUGGUGGAAAGCUUUUGUGGUUUUGGAUGGACUCGCGGCCUAUCAGCUUGUUGGUGGGGUAAUGGCCUACCAAGGCGACGACGGGUAGCCGGCCUGAGAGGGUGACCGGCCACACGAGGACUGAGAGACGGCCCAGAAGCCUACGGGAGGCAGCAGUGGGGAAUAUUGCACAAUGGGGGCAAGCCUGAUGCAGCGACGCCGCGUGAGGGAUGACGGCCUUCGGGUGGUAAACCUCUUUCAGUAGGGAAGAAGCGAAAGUGACGGUACCUGCAGAAGAAGCGCCGGCUAACUACGUG
Molecule: ribosomal RNA, 467 nt
Filed under: uncultured bacterium
Lineage: Bacteria
Description: partial 16S ribosomal RNA
Rfam family: Bacterial small subunit ribosomal RNA
Source: RNAcentral